CUUUUUAAAUUUUUUUUUCCUUUAAAAGUUUUAAUCCACCUUGUAACACCACCCAAAAAGAAGCGAAAUUAAGCUGCAGUGUGUACUAGGAGAGAAAACCUACUUUAUUUAUCACCCAGCCCUACUUCACCAUGCACUGACCUAAUUACAGCCCACACCAGGCUGGGUAGGAGGAGCAGCAGAAGGAGCGCUUCUGCCACCUAGUGAUCCCUGUCAAUCCCUUUGUGGAAUUGGCGUUUUCCUGUCCCCAGCGCUCGACAGCAAGCGACCUUCCCCAGCCAGCCUGCCUGGAUGCCGGGUUUAUCUGCACACCGCUCUCUUCUCCUCUUUUACGGCUCCAAAACAUCGCUCACGGAUGAAUUCUGACCUACGGCUGGCAACGCUCAGGAAGGCAGCUUGCUUGUGAUCUAUCAAAAGAAAUUAUUUCCUCGAGGAAAAAAAUCCAAUGUUCCUGAACUGGCAGGUCAUCAACUUCUGUUUGAAGGAGUACUCAGUGGAAUGGUUUUUUGAUCCCUGGAAGAUGCCUCCGCUACCAUGAAAACCACCUGCCAUUCUCCUUCUGACAGGAUCUUGGACAAAAAUGCAUACAAGGCCAGUGUAAAAACUCCUAAUUAGUGUAUCAUUAUAUCCAAAUUCAAUAGGAGCAAUCUACAUGUGACAAACAGUCAAUUGAUGCUGAGUUUAUUAACAGAGAUGCAGAACCUAGGUUGAGUUGUCUGUAGGAAAGGUGUCAGACAAGUAGUGCUGCAAAUAGUGAGGUAAAUCAGAAGAAAUGCACUCUUGCUGCAGAGAAGGAAAAGACCAUCCUGGGCUGCUUUAGGCAAAGUAUUGCCAGCAGCUGGAGGGAGGUGAUUCUUCUUUUUUUAGCACUGGCCAGUCCACACCUGGAGCACUGUUGCCAGUUCUGAGCUUCUCAGUUCAAGAGAGGCAUGGACAUGCUGGAUGAAGUCCAGAGAAAGGCCGCAAGGAUGAUUAAGGGACUGGAGCUUCAUGAGGAAAG
This 1000-nucleotide long non-coding RNA is filed under the name Zonotrichia albicollis (white-throated sparrow). Its description in RNAcentral is "lncRNA (ENSZALG00000009336.1)". The record is from RNAcentral. Lineage: Eukaryota; Metazoa; Chordata; Aves; Passeriformes; Passerellidae.